AGUGGCGGACGGGUGAGUAACGCGUGAGGAACCUACCUCGGAGUGGGGAAUAACAGACCGAAAGGCCUGCUAAUACCGCAUGAUGCAGUUGGACCGCAUGGUCCUGACUGCCAAAGAUUUAUCGCUCUGAGAUGGCCUCGCGUCUGAUUAGCUUGUUGGCGGGGUAAUGGCCCACCAAGGCGACGAUCAGUAGCCGGACUGAGAGGUUGGCCGGCCACAUUGGGACUGAGACACGGUCCAAACUCCUACGGGAGGCAGCAGUGAGGAAUAUUGGUCAAUGGACGAGAGUCUGAACCAGCCAAGUAGCGUGAAGGAUGACUGCCCUAUGGGUUGUAAACUUCUUUUAUACGGGAAUAAAGUUAGCCACGUGUGGCUUUUUGUAUGUACCGUAUGAAUAAGGAUCGGCUAACUCCGUGCCAGCAGCCGCGGUAAUACGGAGGAUCCGAGCGUUAUCCGGAUUUAUUGGGUUUAAAGGGAGCGUAGGCGGGUUGUUAAGUCAGUUGUGAAAGUUUGCGGCUCAACCGUAAAAUUGCAGUUGAUACUGGCGACCUUGAGUGCAACAGAGGUAGGCGGAAUUCGUGGUGUAGCGGUGAAAUGCUUAGAUAUCACGAAGAACUCCGAUUGCGAAGGCAGCUUACUGGAUUGUAACUGACGCUGAUGCUCGAAAGCGUGGGUAGCAAACAGGAUUAGAUACCCUGGUAGUCCACGCUGUAAACGAUGGAUGCUGGAUGUCGGGGCGCAAGCUUCGGUGUCGUAGUUAACGCGAUAAGCAUCCCGCCCUGGGGGACUACGGUCGCAAGGCUGAAACUCAAAGAAAUUGACGGGGGCCCGCACAAGCGGUGGAGUAUGUGGUUUAAUUCGAUGCAACGCGAAGAACCUUACCUGGGUUUGACAUCCACGGAAUUUCUGUGAAAGCAGGGAGUGCCCGCAAGGGAGCCGUGAGACAGGUGCUGCAUGGCUGUCGUCAGCUCGUGUCGUGAGAUGUUGGGUUAAGUCCCGCAACGAGCGCAACCCCUAUGCACAGUUGCCAGCAGGUGAAGCUGGGCACUCUGUGCAGACCGCCCGGGUUAACCGGGAGGAAGGUGGGGAUGACGUCAAGUCAUCAUGGCCCUUACACCCAGGGCGACACACGUACUACAAUGGCACAUACAAAGGGCAGCGAAACCGCGAGGUCAAGCCAAUCCCAAAAACUGUGUCCCAGUCCGGAUAGGAGUCUGCAACCCGACUCCUUGAAGUUGGAAUCGCUAGUAAUUCCGGAUCAGCAUGCCGGGGUGAAUGCGUUCCCGGGCCUUGCACACACCGCCCGUCA
Molecule: ribosomal RNA, 1309 nt
Filed under: uncultured bacterium
Lineage: Bacteria
Description: partial 16S ribosomal RNA
Rfam family: Bacterial small subunit ribosomal RNA
Source: RNAcentral